UAAUAAGUGUUUUAUGGCACUUUUUAAAUCCAUAUCCACCUUGUGUGCAAUGUCAGUCGAUCUUCUUCGUGGAGAUCGGCCAAACAUCAACCUUUAUCUUUUAACUCUUUGUCUGAAAAAUAUUAUGAAUAAACAAUUCAAAAUA
This 145-nucleotide unclassified non-coding RNA is filed under the name soil metagenome. RNAcentral describes it as "partial internal transcribed spacer 1". The record is from RNAcentral.